UACGAAGGGGGCUAGCGUUGUUCGGAAUUACUGGGCGUAAAGCGCGCGCAGGCGGUCUUCCAAGUCAGUGGUGAAAGCCCGGAGCUCAACUCCGGAACUGCCAUUGAAACUGUUAGACUUGAGGAUGAGAGAGGUGAGUGGAAUUCCCAGUGUAGAGGUGAAAUUCGUAGAUAUUGGGAAGAACACCAGUGGCGAAGGCGGCUUUCUGGUCAGUAACUGACGCUGAGGCGCGAAAGCGUGGGGAGCAAACAGG
Molecule: ribosomal RNA, 253 nt
Filed under: uncultured bacterium
Lineage: Bacteria
Description: partial 16S ribosomal RNA
Rfam family: Bacterial small subunit ribosomal RNA
Source: RNAcentral